Molecule: long non-coding RNA, 1237 nt
Organism: Seriola aureovittata
Lineage: Eukaryota; Metazoa; Chordata; Actinopteri; Carangiformes; Carangidae
Exons: 3
Source: RefSeq, a predicted model, not a curated record
ACUGGAGAGUUUGGUGUGGUCACUGAAAAGAAUUCUCCAAAUUUCUCCCUCUACCGCUAAAGAACAAGACAGGAUUAGGAGGAAAGGAGGGAGGGAUGAUAAAAUCCUUGAGAACAGUGAAGUUUGCGGAGCACAGGAAGGGAGUUACAGUAAUUAGAGAGCAGUGAAGCACAUGUAGAUCAUUUACUGCCUUUAUUCAAACGUGUGAUGUUUGCGGCCUCUCAAAUCUGUCUGAAACUGAAACAGGCAGCAGGCAGCUGUGGAAUGUAAAUCCCUGCACUGUGUUGAGCUUCAUGUCAAAGCACAAAGAAGAGGAAGGAAAAGAACAGGUCAUGACACACCACAACAAUUUUUUCCUAAUAGCUGAAAAUGUAAAUCCAUGACGAACCGAAGCGACUCUUGUCCCUGUGCACAGUUUCAGUACAGCCAGACGGUUUCUAUGACAACAAGCCGAGACACUCCCUCCCAGGCAUUCCAGUCAUGUCAGCCCCCUUGGACAAGAACAAGUCAGGACCUGGCGGGGCAUUGAUGUGAAACCGUGACAUCAGACACAAAACUGUGGGGAGUUGGCAAUGUAUGAAGUCAUCGACUGGGCCCAUAAUGAAAAUGAAGGUGUAAAGAGCUGCUGGGAAUGUUUAUGUCAUCCAUUUUUUGUGUCAUAUCAACAGCAGAACACCUAGCUACAAUAUUCAACCACCAGCAUGUCCACAGGAUUAAUGAUUACAACCUGAAAGUGGUUGAUACAGCACAUGCUGUAUCUGCAUGCAAGUUCAGCAGGUAGUGGGAGAUCCCUUCAAGGUCACCAUGAGGUUACGCCUGCUUCCUGGUUUUAAUUGUUUGGGGAAGGUUAUAUAUCAAUCCUGAUGCUGCUGCUCUCUCUCUCUCUGCUGCCUGGUGCGACAGCGAGUGUGGCCGGCCCGACGGUGGAGGGUUUGGUGGUAGAGUUCAUCACCUGUGCUUCACCACAACCCCUUAAUAGUGUUUGGUAAAUUGUGCACUUCCUUCACUUGUUUAUUUGCAUCCCUUUUGUUGAUUUGCUGUGUGGGUGUGUAGGGCACUGGAGUGUGGUGAGGUGCUCUCUCCCAGUGUGAAUUUUCAGAUUAGACAGAUCAGAUCUUGAAGCACCUCUUUUUAUAUUUUCUAUAGUUUUUUAAAUUACCAACUUUAAUAAAUUGUUGUUUUUAUAUAUUGACUUUUUAACCUUUGUUGUUGAAUAAAUUUGUAAUCUUGUGGGAAA